Long non-coding RNA from Zophobas morio, 329 nucleotides. RefSeq lists it as uncharacterized. The transcript has 4 exons. NCBI's taxonomy places the organism in Eukaryota, Metazoa, Arthropoda, Insecta, Coleoptera, Tenebrionidae. The record is from RefSeq and is a predicted model, not a curated record.
UUACUCCCUAAAAUCAGGUUUUGUCGUUAAAAUUAGAAGUUUUUUCAAAUUACUGCGUUUGUCAAUGUUACAUCCCAAAACUGGCAUCUACCUAAUCCCAACUGGAAAGAGAUCAAUAUGACCUUAAAACCGCUGUGGAAGAUUUUAAAUAAAAGAAAUGUGAAAUGAUAACUAUAUUUCGUAUGACAGCCCAGUUGUUCAAAUAAGAUCUAAACCAAUUGAGGGAGCGCUAGGGGUUUAUUAAGAAUUUGGAGGGCUUACUUAGAAGCACCAUAUAGCUCAAAGGGACAGUCUGGGUCUUCCAAUAAAGUCUAAAUCUAUUAAGGAGG